Molecule: ribosomal RNA, 501 nt
Filed under: uncultured bacterium
Lineage: Bacteria
Description: partial 16S ribosomal RNA
Rfam family: Bacterial small subunit ribosomal RNA
Source: RNAcentral
AUUGAACGCUGGCGGCAGGCUUAACACAUGCAAGUCGAGCGGGGGGAGGUAGCUUGCUACCGGACCUAGCGGCGGACGGGUGAGUAAUGCUUAGGAAUCUGCCUAUUAGUGGGGGACAACAUCUCGAAAGGGAUGCUAAUACCGCAUACGUCCUACGGGAGAAAGCAGGGGAUCUUCGGACCUUGCGCUAAUAGAUGAGCCUAAGUCGGAUUAGCUAGUUGGUGGGGUAAAGGCCUACCAAGGCGACGAUCUGUAGCGGGUCUGAGAGGAUGAUCCGCCACACUGGGACUGAGACACGGCCCAGACUCCUACGGGAGGCAGCAGUGGGGAAUAUUGGACAAUGGGGGGAACCCUGAUCCAGCCAUACCGCGUGUGUGAAGAAGGCCUUAUGGUUGUAAAGCACUUUAAGCGAGGAGGAGGCUACUCUAGUUAAUACCUAGAGAUAGUGGACGUUACUCGCAGAAUAAGCACCGGCUAACUCUGUGCCAGCAGCCGCCGUAA